CAGUGUUCACUUUACUUAAAACCUGUAAUAACAAAUUCAAGAACAAUGCUUUCCAUCCCUUCUUUUUACAUUUAUUGAUAUAUGCAUAUAUAUCUACAACCCCAUUUGCUUCUUUUUCACUUACAGAGUUUUUUUUUUGCGUUUUUAUAAUUAAUUAAAAAUGGCUGCUUUAUCCACUACUUGGCUCUAUCAAGAUAGAGGGUUGGGAAGUAUGGUCUCUACAGGACAUGUUAUGAGGGGCAAAUUUCCUGUUCAACUUUUGCAGGGGAAUGCUAGGAGAUGUUGUAGCGGUUCGUUUCCUGUGAGGCAGUGUAAAGUUGGUGUCAAUUAUUUUCCGAAACGGUCGCCUUUACGUACUUGUAUAAAGUGUCAAAAGGGUGAUAAGGACGAGGAUGAUGACGCUCUUGACCAUGUGCUUGUUGACCAACCGCCAUAUCAUAGUUAUAUGGACUCAACAUCUGGUCAGAUGGAACCAGCUUCUGGUGCUCGUGCAAGUAUUCCAGGGAGAGAUUAUUGGCCUGAAGGCACUGCUGAUCGAGUUAGGGCAGCGAAUGCUCCUGCACCCACUGGGGAGUCAGCGGCACCUCCUUCAUUUGGAAAAACUCCCGGUAGUCGGAGGAAAAAGAACAAGGCAGCUGUUGCCGCUUCUGAGACUUCAGAAAUGAGUGAUAUUUUUGACGAUGCUGUGGAAGCUGAACUAGUAAACGAGGGUUUGGAAGACUCCAAAGAUCUUCCCUCUGAGUUCGUUGUUUAUCAGACAGAACCUCAGGAAGAAGAGUUAACCGGCUAUGCACUGGACAAGAAACUUGGAGUCCCUCACCCCUUUAUAGAUCCAGAAGUGAAGAAGCCAAUAGAGCAGCCACUUACAAGCGAAGAACUAUGGUGGAAUUGGAGAAAGCCGGAAAAGGAGCAGUGGUCCAGGUGGCAAAGGAGGCGCCCUGAUGUUGAAACGGUAUUUCUUAAAGCUAUGGCAGAAACUGGGCAAGUAAAGCUUUACGGGGACCAUCCAACAUUGACCGAGACCUCCCUUUACAGAGCUAGGCGGCAUCUAUACAAAGACGAAAGGUUGCAGGCUGAGAGUGAAAGACUGAAAGAAGUUGGUCCAUUAGCUUACUAUUCUGAAUGGGUUAAAGCAUGGAAGAGAGACACUUCACGUGAAGCAGUUCAGAAACAUUUUGAAGACACUGGUGAAGAUGAGAAUACCCAACUCAUUGAAAUGUUCACAUAUCAAACUGAUAGAGAAUACCGUAUUAUGAUGGGAACUGAUACCCGUAUCCGUAGGGAUCCUUUGGCAAUGCGAAUGCGCGAGGAUCAGAUCAAAGAAAUAUGGGGUGGAGAUCCAGUUUACCCAACAAUUAAUUACAUCCAAGACCCGGACGAAGUGAUUGAUUUCAGAGGUCCAGAUUUCCAUGAGCCUACGCCCAAUAUGCUGUCUUAUCUUAAAGAGCGUGGCAAAAUCAUUUCAAGGGAGGAGCUUGACAACAUCCUUGCUCAAGAGAAAACUGAGCAAAUAGAGACAACAGAUAUUGAUGAAGCUAUGGCACAAGCAGUUGAUAUCGGGGAAAAUGACGAUGAAGGAGAAGGCAGUGACGCUGAGAGUAGUGAAGAGGGCGAGAAAAUUACACGCAAUUGGAGUGUCCUAAAAAGCACUCCUGAACUUCGUAAGACAAAGGAAAAACCGAAGAAGAAUGGCAUGUCUCUUGACGAAGCUAUAGAUGAUUCGGAGAACAUAACUGACUUUAUUUUGGAUUUUGACGAGGAUGAGUAAUGUCUAUCAGAUGCUAAAAUACUGAGCUGGGUAUAUUGAUUUGUGGUGUUAUGCUUCUGAAGAGCUGUCCUUACUCGACAUAAAAGUUUACAACAUUACAGCCAAGGCCCUAUAGGAAGCUCAACAAUCAGGAAUGAUGAACCAAUUAGACUCUUUUCAGUAAAGAUCUAAAUUAAGAUGCAGACUUUUUAGGCACAAGUUUCAAAAUAAUAUUCAAUGCCUUGGGACAGCUUCAAUUAACAAGGCCUUGCUAAGAUUGCAGGAUGAAGAUUACGUAUUAAUUCUAACUGCAAUAUUCUCUGGGCUUCCCGCUGGAAACUUCAUCUUGUGCAAAGAGUUCUCUUUGUUAACAAGAUGGCAAGAAUAUGGAGGCUUUGUCCAUGGGUCGGAAGGAAUGAGCUGUAGCUACUAAUGAAAUUCAAGGUCAUCAGCUGAAACAUUUGGCAUCUCAGAAUUCUGAACUCGAAGAAUUGAAGCUCUCCGUGUUCUAGCUAAAUCCAUGAUGGUCUUUGAAGUAAAAUAUUCUUUUCGAGGACAUCAUUGCAAGAUCUUUCUUUUGUACAAGAUGCUUACUUUUACAGAAAGAUCGAAUUAGAAUGAUUGUUUAGACCAAAUUAUUUUUUUGAUGAUGGCAGAGAGCUGUACUUUGAGAGAACUAGAAGUUAAAUUGUGUAGGCCUUGUUUAUGUUCA
RNA transcript from Daucus carota subsp. sativus, 2459 nucleotides. It is a transcript of the gene named protein PLASTID TRANSCRIPTIONALLY ACTIVE 12, chloroplastic, with no coding region annotated. The record is from RefSeq and is a predicted model, not a curated record. The transcript has 12 exons. Lineage: Eukaryota; Viridiplantae; Streptophyta; Magnoliopsida; Apiales; Apiaceae.